AUUGAACGCUGGCGGCAGGCCUAACACAUGCAAGUCGAACGGUAACAGGAAGCAGCUUGCUGCUUUGCUGACGAGUGGCGGACGGGUGAGUAAUGUCUGGGAAACUGCCCGAUGGAGGGGGAUAACUACUGGAAACGGUAGCUAAUACCGCAUAACGUCGCAAGACCAAAGAGGGGGACCUUAGGGCCUCUUGCCAUCGGAUGUGCCCAGAUGGGAUUAGCUAGUAGGUGGGGUAACGGCUCACCUAGGCGACGAUCCCUAGCUGGUCUGAGAGGAUGACCAGCCACACUGGAACUGAGACACGGUCCAGACUCCUACGGGAGGGAGCAGUGGGGAAUAUUGCACAAUGGGCGCAAGCCUGAUGCAGCCAUGCCGCGUGUAUGAAGAAGGCCGUCGGGUUGUAAAGUACUUUCAGCGGGGAGGAAGGGAGUAAAGUUAAUACCUUUGCUCAUUGACGUUACCCGCAGAAGAAGCACCGGCUAACUCCGUG
Molecule: ribosomal RNA, 490 nt
Filed under: uncultured bacterium
Lineage: Bacteria
Description: partial 16S ribosomal RNA
Rfam family: Bacterial small subunit ribosomal RNA
Source: RNAcentral